GUAUGAUCUCUCUUAUCCUGUAUCCAGUCCAUGGAGAAAGAUCCCUUCAAUGUUUGCAGAUCGGUAGAGUGUCAAGCAACAUGGUGGAAGCUCCACCACGUCUAUCCUGACCCCAUACUGUAGAUCUGCAAACAUUAAGGGCCCAAGGAGAAGGGGUACGGGAGCGAAUCGUUUCCAGCACGGUUCCAGGAACGACGGUUGAUGCAGUGUGAAAAGGCCAAGAUUAUUAAAACCCUGUAGAUUCAUUAUAGGAAUGGUGAAGCUAUGCAAAGAUACUUAACCAUUCUGAACCCUCUACGGCUGCUGCAAAAGGACCAAUCAGCUCCAAGCACCAACCUGGAAAAGGAAUGUGUGCAUUUGUUUGAUCUUCCUCAGUGCACCAGGUGGGCGGAGUUUGCGCUUUAGGUCUCAAACCCGGGGCGAGGUAAAACGAAUGGACGUAAUAACACUAGCCCAAUACAGCGGGGAAAGACGGCGUUUCAGUCACAGCGACAAGGGAAGGAAGAGGAGGUUCAUGUGAAACAGGCUCAAUUUGUUGGAUUAAAAAUACAUGAUUCCCCUCUCCAGCCUCACUCCUGCCGUCGGUUGGUUGACGAAUGGCUUAAUAAAAUGAAAUGUUCUCUGUGAAAUAUAUAAUGGGGUAGGUUAUCAAAAAUGUAAAAGAGGUAGCGCGACAUCAUAAAAGAGGAGCGUUAUUUGAAGAGGGAGAUUGUGUCCUUGUGAGUGAUGGUAUCUCAGGCCUGGGUGAGCCUCUGUGGCUGCACACAGUAUAAUCACAGUUAGGGUGGAUGGAGAGAUGAGGUUUAAGCCCAAACAGACACACUGGAAGACGUAUAACAGUAAACCACAUCACUGCAAGAAGUCAGCGAUAGACUACAAGGAGGUGUUAGGACAAUAGGUUUCAACUUGUAUUGUCACCUGAAAUCCACACCCGUCACCGUUGCGCAUUCCGUUUGCCAACAAUGCUUUGACAUAAGGCACCAAAGUCAAGUGAUUGUUGCGCCCGCCAGUAUUGUAACUUGUUAACCAUGUUUCUACCAUGUAUCAAGCUGCCCAUUUAAAGGUACAUGCUCUAGCAAUGUGAAAUAUAUUAUUAGAAUAACAAUCGACUUGAAGUUAAGGCACAAGUUAUUGAAGUGUGGGUUUAUGUGAACCGGUGUUUAUGGUGUUAUGGGAUGUCCAUGUGAAAUUAUGCAUUUAUGGUAGAAAUGUAUUGUGGGCUAUCAUGAUGGAACAUUCCUAGCUAAAGGGUUCCUGGAAAGAGUACUUAGGUGGUCAGUUGGCCUUUGCCUGGUGGGAGAGCAGGCUAGGUAUGUAAUCGGUUGGCUACAGUAGAGCCAUGCCUGAGUUUUGUUAUAGGCAACGAGUUGUUGUUUGAAUAGUUUAUACUGAGAAUAUCUUUGAUAUAGUCAAGUCUUUAUGUCAACAUCCCUUUUGUUAUUUUCUGUACAAAGUUAAUUGGCUAAUUAUUCCUGCACCUGUUUAGCUUGUAAAUAAAAACCUCUAAGAGAGGUGAGUACCAGAA
This is a long non-coding RNA of Coregonus clupeaformis (lake whitefish), 1525 nucleotides long. RefSeq lists it as uncharacterized. NCBI's taxonomy places the organism in Eukaryota, Metazoa, Chordata, Actinopteri, Salmoniformes, Salmonidae. The transcript is spliced from 2 exons. The record is from RefSeq and is a predicted model, not a curated record.